GCUGAAGAACGCAGCGAAAUGCGAUAAGUAAUGUGAAUUGCAGAAUUCAGUGAAUCAUCGAAUCUUUGAACGCACAUUGCGCCCCCUGGUAUUCCGGGGGGCAUGCCUGUCCGAGCGUCAUUACAACCCUCAAGCUCAGCUUGGUGUUGGGCCCCGCCGCCCCGGCGGGCCCUAAAGUCAGUGGCGGUGCCGUCCGGCUCCGAGCGUAGUAAUUCUUCUCGCUCUGGAGGUCCGGUCGUGUGCUCGCCAGCAACCCCCAAUUUUUUUCAGGCUGACCUCGGAUCAGGUAGGGAUACCCGCUGAACUUAAGCAUAUCAAUAAGCGGAGGA
Molecule: unclassified non-coding RNA, 329 nt
Filed under: soil metagenome
Description: partial contains 5.8S ribosomal RNA, internal transcribed spacer 2, and large subunit ribosomal RNA
Rfam family: 5.8S ribosomal RNA (bases 3-120)
Source: RNAcentral